AUUGAACGCUGGCGGAAUGCUUUACACAUGCAAGUCGAACGGCAGCACGGGGGCAACCCUGGUGGCGCGUGGCGAACGGGUGAGUAAUACAUCGGAACGUGCCCAGUCGUGGGGGAUAACGUAGCGAAAGUUACGCUAAUACCGCAUACGAUCUACGGAUGAAAGCGGGGGACCGUAAGGCCUUGCGCGAUUGGAGCGGCCGAUGUCAGAUUAGGUAGUUGGGGAGGUAAAGGCUCACCAAGCCGAGGAUCUGUAGCUGGUCUGAGAGGACGACCAGCCACGCUGGGACUGAGACACGAGCCAGACUCCUACGGGAGGCAGCAGUGGGGAAUUUUGGACAAUGGGCGCAAGCCUGAUCCAGCCAUUCCGCGUGCAGGACGAAGGCCUUCGGGUUGUAAACUGCUUUUGUACGGAACGAAAAGGCUCUGGUUAAUACCUGGGGCUCAUGAUGGUACCGUAAGAAUAAGCACCGGCUAACUACGUGCCAGCCGCCGCGGUAA
This 500-nucleotide ribosomal RNA is filed under the name uncultured bacterium. RNAcentral's name for it is "partial 16S ribosomal RNA". It matches the Rfam family "Bacterial small subunit ribosomal RNA", at positions 30 to 523 of the family's 1533-position model. The record is from RNAcentral.